Molecule: ribosomal RNA, 492 nt
Filed under: uncultured bacterium
Lineage: Bacteria
Description: partial 16S ribosomal RNA
Rfam family: Bacterial small subunit ribosomal RNA
Source: RNAcentral
AGUGAACGCUGGCGGUAGGCCUAACACAUGCAAGUCGAACGUCAGCACAGUAAGAGCUUGCUCUUACGGGUGGCGAGUGGCUGACGGGUGAGGAAUACAUCGGAAUCUACUUUUUCGUGGGGGAUAACGUAGGGAAACUUACGCUAAUACCGCAUACGACCUACGGGUGAAAGCAGGUGAUCUUCGGACCUUGCGCGAUUGAAUGAGCCGAUGUCGGAUUAGCUAGUUGGCGGGGUAAAGGCCCACCAAGGCGACGAUCCGUAGCUGGUCUGAGAGGAUGAUCAGCCACACUGGAACUGAGACACGGUCCAGACUCCUACGGGAGGCAGCAGUGGGGAAUAUUGGAAAAUGGGCGCAAGCCUGAUCCAGACAUACCGCGUGGGUGAAGAAGGCCUUCGGGUUGUAAAGCCCUUUUGUUGGGAAAGAAAAGCAGCAGGUUAAUACCCCGCUGUUCUGACGGUACCCAAAGAAUAAGCACCGGCUAAAUUAGUG